CCUACGGGAGGCAGCAGUGGGGAAUCUUGCGCAAUGGGCGAAAGCCUGACGCAGCCAUGCCGCGUGAAUGAUGAAGGUCUUAGGAUUGUAAAAUUCUUUCAGUAGGGACGAUAAUGACGGUACCUACAGAAGAAGCCCCGGCUAACUUCGUGCCAGCAGCCGCGGUAAUACGAAGGGGGCUAGCGUUGCUCGGAAUUACUGGGCGUAAAGGGAGCGUAGGCGGGUUAUCAAGUUGGAGGUGAAAGCCCAGGGCUCAACCUUGGAAUUGCCUUCAAAACUGAUAGCCUAGAGUAUGAUAGAGGUAUGUGGAACUCCGAGUGUAGAGGUGAAAUUCGUAGAUAUUCGGAAGAACACCAGUGGCGAAGGCGACAUACUGGGUCAUGACUGACGCUGAGGCUCGAAAGCGUGGGGAGCAAACAGGAUUAGAUACCCGUGGUAGUCCACGCUGUAAACGAUGAUUGCUAGUGUCGGACGCAUGUCGUCGGUGACGCGAGCUACGACAUAGACAGACCGCCGUCGGGAGGUACGGUCGCGAGAGUAAACGUACGAAGUUAAGUUAGUAGNGUUGAGAGNGCGAGGACGACGACGAGGAGAGG
Molecule: ribosomal RNA, 596 nt
Filed under: uncultured bacterium
Lineage: Bacteria
Description: bacterial SSU rRNA
Rfam family: Bacterial small subunit ribosomal RNA (bases 1-515)
Source: RNAcentral